RNAcentral lists this long non-coding RNA (263 nucleotides) under Elaeis guineensis (African oil palm). Its description in RNAcentral is "long non-coding RNA (EGUI_LNC038508)". Lineage: Eukaryota; Viridiplantae; Streptophyta; Magnoliopsida; Arecales; Arecaceae. The record is from RNAcentral.
GCUCUGCAGAUAUACUAUGGCCUCUUUUUCUUAUUUCCAUAUGAUGUGUUAAACCUAAUAGAUGCCGAUCGAUUUUGCUUUUAGCUAACAACAGAGGAAUUCUUUGUGAUAUACUUGGCAUGAGAUAUGCAAAACAAAUAAAAUAUUUGGCACAAGGUAUGCUAUAUCAUUUUUAUCUUAUUUUCUUAUGAUGGGUUAAAGUUGAUGGUUGCCGAUGGAUUUUGCUUGCUAUAUUCUUAUGCUUGCUUAUUUAUUUUCCCUGA